This 682-nucleotide ribosomal RNA is filed under the name uncultured bacterium. RNAcentral describes it as "bacterial SSU rRNA". It matches the Rfam family "Bacterial small subunit ribosomal RNA", at positions 13 to 688 of the family's 1533-position model. The record is from RNAcentral.
UUGAUCAUGGCUCAGAUUGAACGCUGGCGGAAUGCCUUACACAUGCAAGUCGAACGGCAGCACGGGAGCAAUCCUGGUGGCGAGUGGCGAACGGGUGAGUAAUACAUCGGAACGUGCCCUGUCGUGGGGGAUAACUAGUCGAAAGAUUAGCUAAUACCGCAUACGACCUGAGGGUGAAAGCGGGGGACUCGCAAGAGCCUCGCGCUAACGGAGCGGCCGAUGUCAGAUUAGGUAGUUGGUGGGGUAAAGGCCUACCAAGCCGACGAUCUGUAGCUGGUCUGAGAGGACGACCAGCCACACUGGGACUGAGACACGGCCCAGACUCCUACGGGAGGCAGCAGUGGGGAAUUUUGGACAAUGGGGGCAACCCUGAUCCAGCCAUGCCGCGUGCGGGAAGAAGGCCUUCGGGUUGUAAACCGCUUUUGUCAGGGAAGAAAUCUUCUGGGUUAAUACCUCGGGAGGAUGACGGUACCUGAAGAAUAAGCACCGGCUAACUACGUGCCAGCGGCCGCGGUAAUACGUAGGGUGCGAGCGUUAAUCGGAAUUACUGGGCGUAAAGCGUGCGCAGGCGGUUGUGCAAGACAGAUGUGAAAUCCCCGGGCUUAACCUGGGAACUGCAUUUGUGACUGCACAGCUGGCGUGCGGCAGAGGGGGAUGGAAUUCCGCGUGUAGCAGUGAAAUG